UCUCUCUCAAUCACUCCCUCACCAAACCCUAGUAACCUGAGUCGCCCUCAUAAACUCUGAUCGAAUUCACCGGCGGCUAUGACGGCAUUGCUCCAAUGAGCCCCAAAAUCACACCCUGGGCUGAUUUCUUCCUCCUCUUUCCACUUCUAGUAUUGGUUUCCCUCAUAUUCUCAUCAAAAGUUUCAAGUAUCAAAUCGAUAUUUUCGGCAAAAACACGAUUUUGUACGACGCCACUCAAACUCGCACCAUAUACUUCCCUCACUCUCCUCUACCUAAAACCAUAAGCUAUUACUCCCAAAUU
RNAcentral lists this long non-coding RNA (301 nucleotides) under Nicotiana benthamiana. RNAcentral describes it as "long non-coding RNA (NBEN_LNC023328)". Lineage: Eukaryota; Viridiplantae; Streptophyta; Magnoliopsida; Solanales; Solanaceae. The record is from RNAcentral.